CAGCCCCAGCACGGCCCGGUCCCGCAUGCCACCGCCCCGCGAGGACCGCUCUCCAAGGGCCGCCUGGGGCCCCGCGCCCGUACUCUCCUAACCCGGAGCCCUCGGCAGCCCAUUCCUGCCUGGCCACCCGGGACGGAGGAGGCACAGGGGUGAGCUGCCCGAGACCACAGGGCAAGCAAGCGGCUGACGGCGGAAAGACCCUGGGGAAGGGGCUUUGCGGCCGGCUAGAAACAUUUUCCCCAAGCGGCUCCGCAAAAUGACCAGCCUGUUCCGCCGGAGCAGCAGCGGCAGCGGCGGGGGUGGCACCGCCGGGGCGCGUGGGGGCUGGGGAGGCACGGCCGCCCCCCAGGAGCUCAACAACAGCCGGCCUGCCCGCCAGGUGCGCCGCCUAGAGUUCAACCAGGCCAUGGGCGACUUCAAGACCGUGUUCCCCAACAUGGAUUACAUCAUCGAAUGCGUGCUGCGCGCCAGCAGCGGCGCUGUGGACGCCACCAUCCACCAGCUGCUGCAGAUGAACCUGGAGGGCGGUGGCGGCGGCGGCGGCGGCGUCUAUGAGGACAGCUCCGACUCGGAGGACAGCAUCCCCCCGGAGAUCUUGGAAAGGACUUUGGAACCCAAUAGCUCGGAUGAAGAGCCCCCGCCUGUGGACUUCCCACCAGCCUACCAUAUGCACGUGUUCGACCGGCCCUACCCUCUGGCUCCUCCGACUCCACCUCCCCGUACCGAUGCACUGGGCUCUGGAGCCCCUACAAGCCAGAGACGCUAUCGGAACUGGAACCCACCACUGCUGGGCAACCUCCUGGAUGACUUUCUCCGAAUCCUGCCCCAGCAGCUGGACAGCAUGCAGGGUAACGCUGGGGGCCCCAAGCUUGGGAGUGGAGAGGGAGGUCCACCUGCCAUGGCUGGGCCAGGGCCCCGAGACCAGAGAGUCGCUGGAAGCAGUACCUGGAGGAUGAGAGGAUCGCGCUUUUCCUGCAGAAUGAGGAGUUCAUGAAGGAGCUGCAACGGAACCGCGACUUCCUCCUCGCUCUGGAGAGAGAUCGAUUGAAAUACGAAUCCCAGAAAUCUAAAUCCAGCAGCGUGGCUGUCGGAAACGACUUUGGCUUUCCCUCUCCUGUCCCAGAUGCCAGCAGCUCUUCCUUUCCAGAGAUGAUCUGACCCGGUGGGGGCAGCUGGAAAGCAACACUGGCCCCAGGUGAAGGGCCCAGCUGCAGCCGGACAGAUGGUGCUUGAGAACCGAGGCCCAGUGAUCCUCCAGCCACAGUCCAGCCCAACCACUGCCACUUUCCAUGGGACUUAGAACUUCGGAGUUGCUGCCUUGCAAUUGGAGGAAGGACCUGAGGCCCCUAUAGGCAGCAGCCAGUUACAGCCCCUUUUGUAGCCAGGCAUUCCUAUGGUCAAAGAGUGGAAAUGCAGGAACCAACCUCCCUUUAAAAAAAAAAAAAUCCAGAAAGCAGAUAAAAGUUGGAAUAUGGAAAAGGGCAAGAUGACCCCACCUGAGGCUCUUUGGCCUGAAGGUGGAGUCCCUGCCUCCCUCCGUUCCUUAUUUCUCCUGUCGCAGACUCUGCCUGACCCCCCUUCCUCAGCUCCCUUCUGGUCCCCCUUCCUCAGCUCCCUCUGGGCACUUGUGCCCUUCCCUUCCAUGGCCUCCUGUAUCUCAGCCUUCCCCCGGGGCUGCUGGUCCAGCACACAAGCCCUGCAACCAGCCUGGGUGGGAGGUCCCUGGCCAGUCCUCCAGGCACUCUGAGGAGCUAUGGGCUACUGCAAAGAGCAUCUGCCGGCUGCCCCGUCUGGCCUCAUCAGGCUGCUGCUGUUAGGGAUGGGCUCACUCCCAGCAGCUCCCCAUCACCCAGCAGGGAUGGGAAGGGUGGCCACCCCAGAGCUGGAGGACUUUGGGGAGGCAGAGUCUUUAAUUUGGCAGCAGACAAAAGCCAGUUCUGGAGUCACACCACAGUGGGGGCUCACAGGGGCUCUGACUCCCCAGCUUUACUGGAAGCCCUGCUGUCCGAGGGUGGGCAGCGGUGGGCCCUGGAGUGACUCCUUUGAGCAGGUGCAGGGCUGAAGAGCAAGGCAGAAAGGCCGCCAGCCUGGGUGGGAGCGCCUAGGGCAGAAGGGCUUGCUGGGUGCCCCUGAGAAGAGGGGGUGAUCUCAGGAGAACUCUGAUUCUAGGAACGCUUACAUGGCACUGAUCACUGCCACGGGGAGGGAGGCUGCCCAGCCCGUGGCCCCGCCCUGGACAUGGGAGCGUGCAGACCUUCCGGAGAGCCGGGAAGCCUGGGCAGGCACGAGGCUUCGGCGCGGCUUUGGGAGGUUGGGAGUGGCAUCCGAUCCUUGGCCGGGCCCUGGUGGCCUCAGUGGCCCCAAGAUCACAAGGGCGUAGCGAAGGCGAGCCGGCGAUCGCACCUCGUCCCGCCCACCCUGGCCGGACUCCCAACGCCGAGCUUCUCUUCGCUGGGGAGGGCCGGGACGCGCCGCCGCCGCCGCCGCCGCCGAGCGUGACCAAGUUUGGAAACGCGCGCGGGGCCGGGACGCUGGCUCGGGGGGCCCUGCCAAGGAGCGGCCGCCCCCUCCGCUGCUCCCCGCGCCAGGCCUGGGGCCCUGGAGGGAGGGGGAGGUCUCCGAGGAGUGCCUCGGUCCCCCAGCUGGAGUUCCCGACGGGUCUCUGAGCCUUCCCCGCGCCAGGACCGGGCGCACCGUCGGGGAAGCCCCAGCCCCACGUCUGUGAGUGUUGCUUUGUUAUCUUUCUUCCUCCUAUGUGUGGGUUUUUUCUUGGAGCUGUUUCAUAGGAAUUCCUGUAAUAAAGAGUUGGUGUUCU
RNA transcript from Nomascus leucogenys (northern white-cheeked gibbon), 2815 nucleotides. It is a transcript of the gene named CUE domain-containing protein 1-like, with no coding region annotated. The record is from RefSeq and is a predicted model, not a curated record. NCBI's taxonomy places the organism in Eukaryota, Metazoa, Chordata, Mammalia, Primates, Hylobatidae.